GCCGUGAUGGCACAGCCAUCGAUAUCUAGCAAGAGGCAGUUGGACUCAAGCAAGUACCUUCCCGUCGACAUGCCUGCUUCACCGGGGAGGGACAUUUUUUCAUUUCCUUGUCUAAGUUGCAUCAAUUUCUAGCCAUGACACGAUGAUUGCAGUCAUAUGUCCACAAAUUUUAUCGAAUCAUUCUCUUGCUUUUGUCAAUUUCAUCCAUGGUCAUGUAUCAGUUAAUUGAUGGUUUAGGUGACUAAAAUUUUCAUUAUCGCCUCAUAUGUCCACAAAUUUUAUCGAAUCAUUCUCUUGCUUUUGUCAAUUUCAUCCAUGGUCAUGUAUCAGUUAAUUGAUGGUUUAGGUGACUAAAAUUUUCAUUAUCGCCACGCUUCUGUGCAUUUUGCCGUGGUAUAUCACAUCUCCAAGAGCACUCAUCAUGGCAGGACCAUUUGCUUGUUGACUUGUGUUGGGUUUGGCUGCAACCUCUUCCUACUUUAUUGCAUUACAGGCUCACUAACACGAUUAUAUGGAGAAUUCACAAUCAAUAAAAUAAUUGGAGCAAAACACCAGUUUUUGAAAAUAAUGUUGAAUUCUCUUUUCCGUUGGUCUGAUACUUGAAACAUUCACACCUUUUUAAAUGAUUCAUGAGGUACUUGGUCCA
Molecule: long non-coding RNA, 646 nt
Organism: Capsicum annuum
Lineage: Eukaryota; Viridiplantae; Streptophyta; Magnoliopsida; Solanales; Solanaceae
Exons: 2
Source: RefSeq, a predicted model, not a curated record